CACGGGGGGAGCAAGCGUUGUUCGGAAUCACUGGGCGUAAAGGGCGCGUAGGCGGCCUUCUAAGUCGAACGUGAAAUCCCCGGGCUCAACCCGGGAACUGCGUCCGAUACUGGAAGGCUUGAAUCCGGGAGAGGGAUGCGGAAUUCCAGGUGUAGCGGUGAAAUGCGUAGAUAUCUGGAGGAACACCGGUGGCGAAGGCGGCAUCCUGGACCGGCAUUGACGCUGAGGCGCGAAAGCCAGGGGAGCAAACGGG
RNAcentral lists this ribosomal RNA (253 nucleotides) under uncultured bacterium. RNAcentral's name for it is "partial 16S ribosomal RNA". It matches the Rfam family "Bacterial small subunit ribosomal RNA", at positions 524 to 776 of the family's 1533-position model. The record is from RNAcentral.